CUAGCAGUAUCUAGAGUUUGUAUCCUGGCUCAGGAGUGAACGCUGGCGGCAUGCCUAACACAUGCAAGUCGAACGAAGCACAUGAGACAGCUUGCUGAGGAUUGUGACUUAGUGGCGAACGGGUGAGUAAUGCAUGAGCAACCUGCCCUUCAUGGGGGACGAACAGUUGGAAACGACUGCUAAUACCGCAUAACACUUCCGGAAGGCAUCUUUUGGAAGUCAAAGAUUUAUUGCUGAAGGAUGGGCUCAUGUCUGAUUAGCUAGUUGGUGAGGUAACGGCUCACCAAGGCGACGAUCAGUAGCCGGUCUGAGAGGAUGAACGGCCACAUUGGGACUGAGAUACGGCCCAG
Molecule: ribosomal RNA, 350 nt
Filed under: uncultured bacterium
Lineage: Bacteria
Description: bacterial SSU rRNA
Rfam family: Bacterial small subunit ribosomal RNA
Source: RNAcentral